RNAcentral lists this long non-coding RNA (758 nucleotides) under Lathyrus oleraceus (garden pea). RNAcentral describes it as "Pisum sativum (pea) long non-coding RNA (PSAT_LNC018596)". Lineage: Eukaryota; Viridiplantae; Streptophyta; Magnoliopsida; Fabales; Fabaceae. The record is from RNAcentral.
UUUCCUCUCUUUCUCUUUCUUUUUCUUUGUUCUUUUUGUCUGUAACUCUUUCUCUGACUAUGUCACUUUCUUGUCUUUAAACUUUGUGGGUAUUUUAAGUUUGAAACUAUUAAUUUAGUCAUUGGUUUAUUUUUUGGUCGGGAAAAACUCCAUGGUUAAGGUUGUUGAUUUUUUAAAAUUGGUGGUGAUAAAGAAGGAGGUUCUUCAAGACAAAAAGAUACAAGAUUUUUGUCGAUUUUUUCUAUUUGAGUUUUGUAGAUCUGGAUCCGAAAAAAUAAUUAUUUUUUAUAGAUUUUUCAGAUCUGAAUUUUGAAGCAUUGUUUCUUUUCAGAUCUGAUACCUUAUUAUCAAUUUAUUUUUGACCAAACACAGAGGUGUAUUGCACAAAUUAUCUUACUAGUUGGUCCAUAUAUUGUGAUUUCAGCCAUUUUUCUUGGAGCUAUUUUAAAGGUAAGUGUAUCCAUGCGUUUCACAUUCAUCGUAUGUGUAUCUUAAAUGCGUUGAAGUUGAACAUUAGAACAAAUGGGAGAUAGACAAUGCAAGUGGGUGAUUUUGGUUAAUUCAAUGUUCAUGGGGAUUUGUAGCCCACUGUUAAUUCCAUUAUGUACAAUCUGUUAAGUUGCAUAUAUGGUUUUAAAUUCCAUUGUUAGUUCCAUUCCAUACUAGAUUUAGCUUUUGUUCAAAUAUUAAGUUCUAUGAUUUUGCAUAUUUUAGAUAUUAUUAAUGAUUUGUGGGAGUUUUUAACCUCCAAAAAUUAA